RNAcentral lists this ribosomal RNA (252 nucleotides) under uncultured bacterium. Its description in RNAcentral is "partial 16S ribosomal RNA". It matches the Rfam family "Bacterial small subunit ribosomal RNA", at positions 524 to 776 of the family's 1533-position model. The record is from RNAcentral.
GACAGAGGUGCCGAGCGUUAGGCGGAAUCACUGGCUUAAAGCGUGUGUAGGCGGAGUGCUAAGUACCUUGUGAAAUCCCACGGCUCACCCGUGGAACUGCUUGGUAUACUGGUUCUCUUGAGCCACCUAGGGGCGAGCGGAACAAGUGGUGGAGCGGUGAAAUGCGUAGAUAUCACUUGGAACGCCAAUGGUGAAAACAGCUCGCUGGGGGUGUGCUGACGCUGAGACACGAAAGCCAGGGGAGCGAACGGG